RNAcentral lists this ribosomal RNA (468 nucleotides) under uncultured bacterium. RNAcentral's name for it is "partial 16S ribosomal RNA". It matches the Rfam family "Bacterial small subunit ribosomal RNA", at positions 28 to 507 of the family's 1533-position model. The record is from RNAcentral.
GACGAACGCUGGCGGCGUGCUUAACACAUGCAAGUCGAACGGAAAGGCCCUGCUUUUGUGGGGUGCUCGAGUGGCGAACGGGUGAGUAACACGUGAGUAACCUGCCCUUGACUUUGGGAUAACUUCAGGAAACUGGGGCUAAUACCGGAUAGGAGCUCCUGCUGCAUGGUGGGGGUUGGAAAGUUUCGGCGGUUGGGGAUGGACUCGCGGCUUAUCAGCUUGUUGGUGGGGUAGUGGCUUACCAAGGCUUUGACGGGUAGCCGGCCUGAGAGGGUGACCGGCCACAUUGGGACUGAGAUACGGCCAAGACUCCUACGGGAGGAAGCAGUGGGAAAUAUUGCACAAUGGGCGGAAGCCUGAUGCAGCAACGCCGCGUGCGGGAUGACGGCCUUCGGGUUGUAAACCGCUUUCGCCUGUGACGAAGCGUGAGUGACGGUAAUGGGUAAAGAAGCACCGGCUAACUACGUG